CGUCUACGAGUUUGAUCCUGGCUCAGGAUGAACGCUAGCGGCAGGCUUAAUACAUGCAAGUCAAGGGGGUAGCAAUACAACCGGCGCACGGGUGCGUAACGCGUAUGCAACCUACCUUUAACUGGAGCAUAGCCCCGAGAAAUCGGGAUUAAUACUCCAUAACAACAAGAAGUGGCAUCACUUUUUAUUUAAAGCUUUGGCGGUUAAAGAUGGGCAUGCGUGACAUUAGUUAGUUGGUGAGGUAACGGCUCACCAAGACUUCGAUGUCUAGGGGUUCUGAGAGGAUUAACCCCCACACUGGUACUGAGACACGGACCAGACUCCUACGGGAGGCAGCAGUGAGGAAUAUUGGUCAAUGGGCGCAAGCCUGAACCAGCCAUGCCGCGUGAAGGAUGAAGGCCUUAUGGGUGUAAACUUCUUUUAUACGGGAAUAAACUUAGUUACGUGUAACUAACUGCAGGUACCGUAUGAAUAAGCACCGGCUAACUCCGUG
RNAcentral lists this ribosomal RNA (493 nucleotides) under uncultured bacterium. RNAcentral's name for it is "bacterial SSU rRNA". It matches the Rfam family "Bacterial small subunit ribosomal RNA", at positions 1 to 507 of the family's 1533-position model. The record is from RNAcentral.